Molecule: ribosomal RNA, 634 nt
Filed under: Basidiomycota sp. C2-14
Lineage: Eukaryota; Fungi; Basidiomycota
Description: eukaryotic LSU rRNA
Rfam family: 5.8S ribosomal RNA (bases 215-368)
Source: RNAcentral
ACCUGCGGAAGGAUCAUUAAUGAAUUUUAUGGCGGAAUUGUAGCUGGCCCCAACCGGGCAUGUGCACAUUCUGUUCAUUCCAUUCUCAUACACCUCUGUGCACUUUACAUAGGUUUGGUAUAGAAAAGGUCUUUAUUGACUUUGGAAAUACUGACCUAUGCUUUUAUAAACGCUUCAGUUUUAGAAUGUCAUCCGCGUAUAACGCAAUAAAUACAACUUUCAGCAACGGAUCUCUUGGCUCUCGCAUCGAUGAAGAACGCAGCGAAAUGCGAUAAGUAAUGUGAAUUGCAAAAUUCAGUGAAUCAUCGAAUCUUUGAACGCAUCUUGCGCCCUUUGGUAUUCCGAAGGGCAUGCCUGUUUGAGUGUCAUGGUAUUCUCAAUACCCCAAAUCUUUGCGGAUAAGGGUGUGUUGGACUUGGAGGUUUUUGCAGGUAAUGAUUGUGUUACCAGCUCCUCUUAAAUGCAUUAGCAGAGAUAAUACUGCUACUCUCCAGUGUGAUAAUUGUCUACACUGUUAGUAGUGCGGUAUAACAAAAUGUCUAUGCUUCUAAUCGUCUUCGGACAACUUUUGACAAUCUGACCUCAAAUCAGGUAGGACUACCCGCUGAACUUAAGCAUAUCAAUAAGCGGAGGA